Notechis scutatus (mainland tiger snake) is the source of this 122-nucleotide small nuclear RNA. The record is from Ensembl. NCBI's taxonomy places the organism in Eukaryota, Metazoa, Chordata, Lepidosauria, Squamata, Elapidae.
ACUAUCCUUAUCUUGGGGUUGCGCUACUGUUCAAUGAACGUCUAGUGAGGACAGUACUGCUAACACCUACACAACACUUUAGACUAUUUCAAAUGGUCUCGCAGUACACAAUUUUUUGCCCA